RNA transcript from Nicotiana attenuata, 2858 nucleotides. RefSeq lists it as uncharacterized. The record is from RefSeq and is a predicted model, not a curated record. Lineage: Eukaryota; Viridiplantae; Streptophyta; Magnoliopsida; Solanales; Solanaceae. The transcript is spliced from 11 exons.
GUCGAUCUUCCCGAUCCCCUGAAUAACCGACCCAAGGUACUUGAGACUACCCCUCUUGGGAAUGACUUGAGGUAAUUCUAGUGUCAAACAAGUCAAACACUUAUCAAUUGUUCUUCAGCCCCUUGAUUUCAACCUCGAUGAAGAGGCAUAAAUGAGAAUUGUUCCUUUCUGGAGAACGUCCCUCAGCGAUACAAAUACUCCAAGUCAAAAGUAUUACAUUGAUCAUUUUGAGAUCCAUCCUGUUAAGGUUGUGGCAAGCUUUCUUCCGGGGGAAUCUUAUGCCAGCUAUAGCUCCACGCAGGAGACGCUAAGAUCUUUACUUCACAGUGUUAUAAAGGUACUUUCAAACUCAUUAGUAAGUGUAUUGACGGUAAAGGGUUUUCUGGAACAAAAAGAUACUUCGGUGAUCUAGGAAAACUUUAAAAUCAGCAGGAUCAAAUAUCCUUUUUGCUGCUGUCACUGAAAUAUCAGACUCGGUUCUGAAUGGAACAGAAGCUAGCGGGUUAAACGGAAUGGUGUAUGGUUUUCAUCAAGGAAUACUUAAAUUGGCAAUGGAACCUACGCUAUUGGGGAGUGCUUUCAUGGAAGGUGGCCCUGAUCGAAAAAUUAGGCUCGAUCGAAGUCCAAGGGUUGAUGAGCUUUACAUUGAAGGGUAUCUGCAAGCCAUGUUAGAUACAUUGUAUAAGCAAGAAUACCUGACAGUCAGAGUCAUUGACAACCAGGUGCAGGUCCUUUUCACAAACUUGCCCGCCUGAUUGUUGCUAUUUGGAAAGCCAUAAGCUGCUUUUCAAUUGCUGGAAAGCUAAGGUUCUAAUUUGGUCCUCUGUAAGAGCUUAGGCAGCUUAACGCUCGCUGAUAAAAAGAACUAACUGAAACUGCCUUGGGCUAACAAGUAGUGAUCAAGUGAUGCGGAUGGCUAUCAACACCAUAGAGAAAUUGAUGCCGAAAAAAUAAAUUGAGAACGCAUAACAGGAGAACAAAAAGGAUCAGCCGCCCCUCCUAGCUUGACAUAUUACCAACCUCAACUAAUUCCAGCUCAGGACUUAAAUAAAUGGGAAUUCAAGUAUUGAAGAUCUGAUUGAUAUUAUGUUGCGCUACAUACUGCAAAUUCGAUGAGCUUCAGAUGGACGAAAACUCAUUUGGUGUAGGACUUGGAGCAGUGGAGUUUUUUUUAUGAUCCCCCAUGACAUCUACUUAGUGAUGGACGAAAACUCAUUUGGUGUAGGACUUGGAGCAGUGGAGUUUUUUUUAUGAUCCCCCAUGACAUCUACUUAGUGUAAGUUGUUGCUUAUCUCUGUUCUCAUGCUUUUUUCUCUUAAGUUAUCAUUGCCUUCUUCAAUACUAUGUUAGACUGCUGGUGUCUCUCUAAUAUGUAUGCCAUCUUUGCCGAGGUGGCCAUGAUUUAUACCUGCAGUCCUGGCAGAGUACAUAUUGAUAAUUGUUUCCUCUCAAUGGUAAUGCACAGUCUACAAACACUGCCAGCCUUUAUCUAAGGCUUGAAACUUUUAGACCUUACCUAGAAUGUGUUGUAUACUUGUCUGAGUUGGAAAGUAAUGACUGAGGAGAAUGCUCAAAUUUUACCUAGAUGUAAGCAUGUAAACAUUGAUUUUGGAAUGAGAUCCAGGAUCAGCUUGGAACUAGAAUGGAGAAUCCAGGAAGGUGUUGCCUGCUGUUUUGAAUUUUGAUAUACAUAAACAGAUCAGAAGGAAUGAUAAAGAUAUCAUGUAAGAAUUCAAGUAAUAGAUGAGUAUUUCAUUUAACAAUGAGAUGUUUUUGGCAAGGAGAGAGAUAUUUAAAUUUAGCAAAACGUUAAAAUGGCAUUGGUGAGAAAUUGAAUAGAGGUGCACAAAUUGCACUUUAGGACUUAUAUGUUGAUGGAAGUGAAAACAGUGAAUCUUUUGUGACUGUCCUCUUGCUUGGAGGUCACUGUUCUCUUUAGUGUUACACAAAUGAAAUUAUGGAUAGCAGGAAACUUGUUGCUCAGUAAAAUAUAUUUCCAGGAAUGUCCCGCUUUCAAGUGUGGGAAGACCACUUUUUAUACGAAGUUUUUAAUUUCUGACGAGGAAUGGAGCUACAUAUGUGUGAAGGUGGAUUAACUCCUCUUCUGAAUGUUUGGCUUAUUACUUGCCAUAUUAUUACUUUCUUUUCCUCUAUAUACAAUGAUGUUGGUAGGCCCAAAAUACUAAUUCAUUGAUAAGAAAGUAGUAGAAAUUGGUGAAGGCUCUGUGGUUCUAUUUCUACAUUGGUUCCUUUAGUUUCUGGCACUGCUUAGUGUUAUAUUGUUCCAAUAAAGGGUUCUGAGCCAUUACCCAAAGCCUCCGAAAACCAUGGAUUCACUGGGCAGUCACCAGGUGCCACCACGAUCUUCCACAUAACGAGGACCUGGUGGCUGUAUAAUAUAGACAUGCGGGGCCUGGAGCGAUAGUUCCUGGAAGAGCAUAUCUAUCUCUGGACAUUAUGUCACAGAUAUUAUUUGGCUACAGGUAUUAUGUGUGCAAAUCAGGUACAUUUUUUUCCCUCUUCUGCCCUAUUAACUUUCAACCCAUGAUAGAAUACCUGUCCCUCAUUUUCAAAAUCCUCAUAAGAGGUGGAUUCAUUUUCUUUGAGCUGCUUUUUGUUCCUUUUACUUUUUUUCUUUCGUGAAAAUGCAGUAAAAUCCUGAAGGCUUGCAAAUAUGGUAAUUGUACUUCUUUUGCUGCUUGUAUCACAAUCCACCUAUUAAUGAAAAUCACGACUAGCUCUAUUUCCAGUUCCCUGCCCAUUACUGGGAUUGGCCGAAUUUAUUCACUUUCUCUUCUUUUUUUUUGGGCAUUUGCAUCUAUACCCGUUUUUUGUGCCACAUUUUAACCUGUGCCCGC